RNAcentral lists this long non-coding RNA (1895 nucleotides) under Homo sapiens (human). Its description in RNAcentral is "HSALNT0174217". The record is from RNAcentral. Lineage: Eukaryota; Metazoa; Chordata; Mammalia; Primates; Hominidae.
UCAAUAGCAGAACAAAAUUAUAUGGUUUUUGUCUUAAGAAUAAGUUAAAAUAGGAAGAUUUUUACAACAGAUUUUAAAACUCAACUUCCUUCAAGGGUGACCAUCUUUGACGUUUUCUUUUCAGAUGCCUGAAAAUAUUUUUGCAAAAGAGAAGAGGAUCUCUUAUGCUACCUCAGGAAAACUGUCACUGCUUUUCUCUUGUCCUCUAAUUCAGUACCACAGAUCAGCAACUACUCUGAGGAAGAAAGCAAUUAAAGAGGAAUUCAGUGCCAAGCCAUGAGUACACGCAGCCCUGUGAAAAGAUCAAGUAGUGAGAAACUGAGUCCUUCUACCAAUAGUCAGUGAGAAAUUGAGGUAUCCUGUCAACAGUCACAUGAGUGAGUCAUUUUGAAAUGGAUUUUCCAUCGCCAGUCAAGCCUAUGGAUGACUGAAGUCUGAGCUUAUAGCAUGACUGCAAACUCUUGAGACUCAAAGCCAUAAUCAUUCAGUUAAGCUGCUUCUGCAUUCUUGACCGUCAACCACUGUGUGGGAUAAUAAAGGAACUGCCGUACUGUUUUCCAUAGAAGCUACACCAUUUUAAAUUUCCACCAACAGUGAACAAGGAUUCAGUUAAUGUACUUCCUCAUCAACACCUGUUAAUUUUUGUUUUCUUGAUAAGAUCCAUCCUGCUGGGUAUAAGGUGAUAUCUCAUUAUGGUUUUGAUUUGCUUUUCUCUGAUGAUUUGUGACGUUAAGCAUCUUUUCAAAUGUCUGUUGGCUAUUUAUAUAUCCUCUUUAGAGAAAUGUCUUUUCAAGUUUUUUUGUCCAUUUGUUAUUCAGGUUUUGUUGUUGUUGCUGCUGUUGUGUUGUAAGAGUUUUUUUAAAUGUAUUCUUGUUAUUACUUCCUUAUCAGAUCUAUAAUUUGAAAAUAUUUUCUCUUAUUCCACAGGUGUCUUUCACUCUGUUAAUUGUAUCCAUUGAUGUGCAAAGUUUUCAGUUUUGCUCUGUAUAGUCCAAUUUAUAUGUUUUUACUUUUGUUGCCCGUAAAAUUAGUGUUGUCUUAAGACACUAAAUUUUGGGUAAAAUGAUUACACAGAAAUAGCAAACAGAGGAGGCUAUUAUUUUAUUUAUCUAUAUUAAUGAUAUAAUUUGGCUCUGUGUCCUCACCCGAAUCUCAUCUUGAAAUGUAAUCCCACAUGUCGAGGGAGGGGCCUGAUGGGAGGUAAUUGGAUCACGGAGGCGGUUUCACUCAUGCUGUUCUCGUGAAAGUGAGUGAGUUCUCAUGUUAUCUGAUGGUUUCAAAGUGUGUCACUUCCCCCUUUCUCUCUCCUGCCAUCAUGUAAGACGUGCUUUGCUUCCACUUCACUUUCCGCCAUGAUCAUUAAGUUUCCUGAGGCCUCCCCACCCAUGUAGAAUUGUGAGUCAAUUAAACCUCUUUUCUUCUUAAAAUUACCCAGUUCUGGUAGUUCUUUAUAGCAGUUUGAAAACAGACUAACACAACUAUUUUAUUUCAGAGACAGUUUCACCGCAUUGUUCAGGCUGUCCUUAAAUCCCUGGACUCAAGUGAUCCUCCUGCAUCACCCUCCUAAGUGGCUGGGACUGCAGAUAUGCGCCAGCACUCCCAGCUAUAGGAGGCAAAAAAAUGUUUUCUUUGAAUGCUUUGUAAUAAUCACUUUAAAAUUAUUAUUGAAAUAUACUUAAGAUGAUGCUGGACAUAAAUUGUGAGGAUAUAUCUUAUAAAAGCAGAUAACUGAAUUGGAGAAAUUAGUGAAAUAGUUGACAGUAUAAAGUGUAAAAUAGUGGAGAGAGAGUAAAAUCUAGAAAAGAUGGGAGUUGAAAAAUGUAUAAAAGAGCUUAAGAAUAUGUAGGACAAGAUGGGGAAAUGAUAACAUACUUGUAACUAGAGACCUUGAAGAG